Molecule: long non-coding RNA, 368 nt
Filed under: Musa acuminata (dwarf banana)
Lineage: Eukaryota; Viridiplantae; Streptophyta; Magnoliopsida; Zingiberales; Musaceae
Description: long non-coding RNA (MACU_LNC004782)
Source: RNAcentral
UCCAAGUCGGCGUCGGGGGUCGGCGCCGCGGCAGGGGAGUUCGAGGGCGAUGUGGCGGCCUCCGGAGAGAGAGCCUUCGCUGGGGCGUGGGCGGAGGCGGGGGAUGUGGCCGGGGAAUGGGCGGCGGCGGGAACGGUGGCCGGGGCGGUGGAGGUGGAGGUGGAAGGGGCGGUGGCGGAGGCGGGGGAUUUCGCCGGAGACUGGGCCGAUUCCGGUUGCUCGGGCUUGGAGCUGGGCCCAGGAGCGGGUGCCUCGGCGGCUGCGGUGAGGCCGGCCGCAGCCAGGAAGAGGACGACCAACACGGUGGCGCGAUACAUUUUCCGGCGAAAUCGAGGGACUAGGAGGAGGAAGAGGAAAAUUAAGGAUUG